RNAcentral lists this long non-coding RNA (12407 nucleotides) under Anthonomus grandis grandis. RNAcentral describes it as "uncharacterized LOC126747836". Lineage: Eukaryota; Metazoa; Arthropoda; Insecta; Coleoptera; Curculionidae. The record is from RNAcentral.
UCUUGGAUACCGACCAUUACUUCUAUUGUUAUAUUUUUAUUUUACGUAGUAGGCUAUAGGCAGAAAAUAAGUGUGAAAUUCCAAAAAAGACCCUUUUACAAUUCCAGCAUAUCGUGUACGCACCCAUGGAAGACGGCAAGAUAGAACGUGGCGUGCAUAGGGCUGGGAGAUAAGAUUUUAACUCUCUUCCUGAAUAAGAAGGCAGCAAUGGCCAAGGAGACCCAUGUAUUUGAGUUAAAAUAGGAUCUUAAAGCAUCAACCAAAAGGAGACUUUCCCAGUGUUUUACCGCCCUGGAUGGCGAUCAAUAAAAAUUAAGAAGAGCAAUGGCCUCAAAUUACUACCUCGUGGCACAGCAGAAACUGCAGAAAAACCCCCAGACAUUGAUCUUCCAACUUUAGCAACCCAUUGGUACCAGCUUUUACAGAAGGAGCAUUGGAAGUUUUGACGAACUGUUAAAAAUUAUUGGACUUUCAAGUUACUAUAAGCUAUCAAGAUACAAAAUUCAGAAAUUGCAUCUCACCUGAUAGAAGACUCCUCUGUUGCAUUAAGUUUUAGGUGCCUAAAACUCUUAUGAAAUGGAAUUGACAGAGUCAAUAAAACCUACGACGCCUCUCUAUGCAAGGAAAAGAGUGGCUAAACCAGAAAGGAGAAAACGUAAAGUAAAGUAAAGAGAAAACGAGAGCAAAAUAAGAGAUACAAGAAUAAAAGUUUGCCGGAGUAUCCAAAUGUAAACACGUGACAAAAUCGUAUCGUUGCAGUUCAUUGUCAAUGUACGAUGUUUCAAAUUUUCAUAAAACUUUUUAUGUUCACAAAACUAAAAUAGAUUAGAGAUAUUAAACGCAAAAGGAGCCAAAAUGAAAAGGGCGCGUCUAAAAGAAGUUUUUCAGUUGUUUAUAAUAUUCCCAAGGCCAAUAGUUUAAAACUGGUUCCAGUUUGCAGGAAUGCAUUUACUAAAAUUUUGGCAGUUGGUAAAGAUCGGAUUAAAGAGGUUUAAAGAAUCCGGGAAAAUGGCGUCUGAAACAAGGGGUCGCGACAGAAUUUCUGGAAAAUAUGGUGCGAAAAUAGAGUCAGUAAUGAAAUUCAUUGAAAGUUUUAAGGUAAUUGAGUCUUAUUAUUGGCAAAACAGAACUAACCGCGAAUAUUUACCUUCAACACUUAGUAUUUCAAAGAUGUGGAGACUAUACUGUCAAAAAAUGAACGAAAUACCAACCCUCCUUGUUAAAAAAAGUUAUGUUGCAAUGAUAUUUAAUACCAAUUACAACAUUGGCUUUGGUUCACCCCGCACUGAUGUGUGUUCCGUGCGUCUCCAAUUAACAGAAGAAAUAAAAAAUUAGAAAAACGAAAAUAAAAAAAAUAAACUAAUGACGGAAAGACAUGUACAUAAAUUACGCGCCAAGGCUUUCUUUGACCAUUUAAAAGAAGAAAAACCUGAACUAAUUACAAUAUCAUUUGAUUGCCAGAAGAAUCAGGUCCUACCAAAGAUUCCUGACCAAUCAGACAGCGGCUAAUUCCUAGCCGCCAGCUUUAUAUUUACAAUUUUACCAUUGUUACUGGCAGUUCACACUCACCCCUCACUAAAAAUAAUGUGUCAAUUUAUGCUUGGACUGAAGACGAAUACCAUAAGGGAUCAAAUGAAAUAGCAAGUGCUGUAUUUUACAAACUUUGUCAACUAGGAAUAAAAAAGUAAGACUUGUUGCUGACGGAUGUGCAGAUCAGAAUAAAAACUCUACUUUAAUUCUAAUGUGUACCAUGUGGCUUAGUGAGAAGGCUCCUCAGUCAGUCUCGAAAUUAUAAAUUAUCUUUCCAGUUGUUGGGAAUUCUUUUCUCCCUGCAUAUCGUGUGUUCGCUCGAAUUGAAAAAAAAUAUAAAAAAAGAAGAAGUCUUAGUCUCUGUACAACAGUACCUAAAUAUUUUUCCUGAUCAAGUCUGGACUACGCGCAGGCCAAAGCAAAGGUCCCCAUGGGAGCUUGAGCCCUAGCCCCUUCCGGAGGAGAAAAUCUAAUAAAUUUCAAGAUAUGUAUCUGUUUUGGCUCAUUAUUGUUUUAUCAAACACUUUAGGUCCAGAAUACAAUAUGCUUUUACUCCAAUAAUCUUUUCUACGAGGACAUUUAGUGAGUUCUGUGGGAAAAUAAAGUGCAAUAAAAAUAUACAUUUCCUCUUUUUCAAGCUUCUUCCAUUGAAGAUCAAAUUCAGUAUUUGAAUUAUUUUUCCCGAAAUAUAUUUUUGCUGGUCCAUUCGCAAAAUUUGGACACAAUAUUUGGGCUCAUAAAACACUCAAGGGAAUUCACUGGGUUUUUAGAUUCUUGCCAAUCAAUUGCAGGAUUAAAAUCGUAGUCAGAAGAAAAACCACUUACUGGUUCAGGUAGUUGAUCGGAAAUGGAUCACCUAAAACUUGCCAGUCGUCCAUAAACACAUUUUCAAUUUCUUCGUCUUCGUCAGUGUUCGAAUAAGGAUCCGAGUCACUUAUCAUCAAAUUAUCACUCAUUUGGUAGUCCAAAUCAUCACUAUCGCUUACAGAAUGAUUGUCCACGUUCAUAAUGUCCUUUGUAAGGUGUUAGUACAAUAUCAAAGACAAAAGUAUGCAGAACAACGUUAAAAACUAACAUUCCCGCCAAAUAUUAUAAAACGCACUAAUUCAGGCGUAUACCAGCGAGGCUAAUUCGAAACUAACAAAAACAACAAAUGUAUGAAACUUUGUGAACCGGUUUAUUUUGGGAUAAAAUAUUAUAUCCUACACCAGACGAAAUAAUAUAGUAAUACUCGUAUUACCGUCAUAUAAAAUCUAUUUGCAAGCAAAUAGGGACGAUAUCCAUAUGUGGAUAACUUGGUACGUGCCGGCCUUAAUAGAAAUAUCGAAAUAGUGGAUACCUGGAGUGGAAAGGGGUUAAAGUCUGUUGUGUACUUUAGAAUUAUGUUUGACAGAAGGAUGAAAUACAAUUUGAAGACACUUUGUACACGUGUCCUUUUGAAAAUCUUCCUACUCGUAAUAUCCGAGGUACAGGAACAGGUCUGCGGGUACGGGAUUUCUUUGCUAGCUAUUUCACUUCACUAUCAGGAUUUAUUCCUUGGCAGUAUGAUAAAAUUUGAAGUGUAUUGAUUGCGUAAGAUUAUUUAUUACAAAAUAAGACUAGUUAUCUUAUAUGGGGUGGAAACUUGUGCCUCAUAUUCUUCAGUUGAAUGAAAUUUGUACUAUAGUCAAAAUCGCUCUUAUCGUGCGGGUGUAUUGGAUUAUCAACGACAAACUUUUGUAGUUACGUCUCAUUUCAAUUUGCGCAACAACGUUUAACUACAACGCAUCAGAUAAACGAAACAGAUAUAUGCAGCGUUAAUGUAUCAAAAGAAGAUAAAAUGAUAAAUGUUAGUGGUUCUAAAACAAUUACUUUCAUAACAAACAUGCCUGUCUCGUUUCGAUUGACGGAUGACAUUAUUUGUUACAAGAUAAUUUAAAUUUCAAAUUAUGGAAAAGAAAAAGCCUUUUUGUGGAUUUCUAAAUCCUCAAGCCAAAAAAAUGGUACUUAAUGUUAUUAAUUACUUCGAGAACGAAAAAGAAAAUAAAGGGUUGCCUAAGAAUGUACAAAAAGAAGUAGCUAAAGCGCUUGGAAUUAGUUUAAGAAUGGUGCAAAAGGUUGUAUAUGAAAACAAGAACGAUCUUAUUCCCAAGAAGGAAAAAAAGUGUAUAAGGAAGAAGCCGAAGACUGAAGAUUUAAGUGAAUGUGUAAAAAUGGAAGUAAGGGAUAGGAUUUAUGAACUAUAUAGGCUAAAAACAAAUAUAACGCUGCCAUUUCUGAGGGAUGUUUUAAAGCAACGCGGCACUUUGGAAAUUGGACUUUCUGCUUUAUCAAAAUUAAUUAAAAGCAUAGAUUUUCGCUAUAAAAAAGACUGCAAUAGAAGAUAUUUGUGUGAACUACCAAAUAUUGUGAGCCAACGAAUAGGAUUUUUAAGACAAUAUACACAAAAUAAAAAUUAAAGUUAAGGGAAGUGGUAUUCUUAGAUGAAACUUGGAUAUUUUCAAACAGGAGUGGAAUAAAAUCUUGGCAAGAUGAAUCUGUGAAAAGUGUGAAAAGAAAAAAAGGAUGUGGUCAGGGAAAACGAUUUAUUAAUUUACACGCCGGGUCUUCAACGGGAUUCGUUCCCGGUUGAAGUUUAAUUUUUUCUUCUAAGUCUAAAAGUAUGGAUUAUCAUGACAAUAUGAAUUGCGAAAUGUUUGGAAAAUGGUUAAAGGAACAGUUAAUACCGAACUUGCAAGAACCUUCCUUAAUAGUAUUAGACAAUGCGUCGUAUCAUUCAAGAAUUUUGAAUAAACAACCAAAUGGAAGUUAUAGAAAAAGCGAAAUUUAUGAAUGGUUAGUAAAAGAAAAUCAGAAUCCCUUGCCAUAUAUGCUAAAAUCCGAACUUCUUUCAAUUGCAAAAUCGCUGAAAAGACCAAAAAUCUACGCUGUUGACGAAAUAGUACGUGAAUAUGGCCAUGAAGUUUUAAGAUUGCCACCAUACAAUAACACCUCUACAAAAGGACAAAGCGCUCCAAAAAAUGUUGCUCGUGACGUCACACGUUUGGGCCAUGCACUUCUGGUUGAUUUUCGCGUGAAUUCAGCUGUUGACGCUGCCGUUGUUCGUCCACGGAAGACUGCCUGCAACGCUGCCAGACUUUGCAGAUUGCCGUGAACGUUAGGAUGCUCUAUUACUAUCUUAAAACAAUUAAAUCUAUAUCUUUAACUGCUCUUACUUUACAAUUUAGUUAAAAAAAAAGAGUGCAUCCUUAUUUCUCUUUUUAUAAUUUAAACUUCCAUUUUUUCAAAUUUUAUCAUUUAUCUAAUACCACAGAUGUAAAUAGCUACUUGCCAAUAGGAGUUCUUUCUAUAUAAAUCUGACAACGGCACAUCUACUAGUUGUGCCACCUGACGAAACGAGAGGUUAGGUUGUUUAUAUUUAUGUUCUGUGGUUGCCGGUAUUUCUGACGAGGUCCGCAGUAAACAUUAGCUCAUUUUUGUGUUUUUUUCUAAAAUCGGAACUGUUUAUUUCCGCGAAACGUGUAUGUUUUAUUUAUGUAAACUCUUCGCGUACUUUUAAAUCGCAAAAUCGUAAUUUCGGACUAGAAAAAUCCUCGGAAAAACCGGUUCUCGGUGGCGGUUUUAUUUGUUUAUAUCAGACUUUAAUACUUAAGUUCGUGUUUAAUUUAAUGUUUUUCUCCUAGUUCGGCUUGUAGUUAAUACCAGAGUGUAAAUAUGCCUUAAAUGUGUUGUGUUCCGGGUUGUAACGGAAACUAUAAAAACGGACCUAAAGUGCAUGUCUUCGGUUUUCCUAAGGAUACAAAUCUAAGGGGAAAAUGGGUAAAAGCCAUACACAGAGAUGACUUUGAGCCCACAAACAACACCUAAGUAUGUGAAGCUCAUUUUCCUGAAGGUAGUAUAAUAAAGAGUACUUUAUUAUACAUUUUAUUAUACAUAUUAAGUUCAAGAUUCCAACACAGGUAAAAAUUUUUACAAUAGAAUUACUAAAACCACGGCUGAAACUUUUGAAACUUUUUUAUAUAGCGAGCCAGUUUGUGUUUUAACAUCAAAAUUUAAAACUCCAUAUACUUCCCUUCAUAUAGUUUAGAUGAUUUAUAUGCAAUACUUGAAGCAAUAGACCUUACUAUUAUUACCCUGCCUUUGGAGGAAAAUGUUACCAAUAAUGACAACCCCGACUGUGACUUAAAUCCAAAUACUGCUAUACCGAGACUGCUACCAAUACCCUUGGCAAUACUAUUCUCGAUCAUGCCAAACCAUCAAAUGACAUUAAUAAAAUGAAAGGUGUGUUCGAUUUUGUGUCAAACAUACUAAAAAGUUUUAAAAACAUUGAAGACAACAAAAUAGUGCAUUCUUUAGAUUUUAUUUGUGAACAAUUAGCUUUGCUUACAACUGUAAAGGAAAGGUACAGAUAUUCAAGUAGUACAAUAAUUUUGACUUCUAUAAUCUAUACUAUUAGUCGUCAUGCGUACAAGUAUUUAACAGAUUAUGGAUCCCUAAUUUUACCACAUCCUCAAACUAUAAUGGGUAUUUGUAACAAACACAUGACCGAUCCCCACAUAGAUGAAAAAAAAAUGUUUUUAACUUAUGCCCGAAAUGUGUUUAGUUUACUAAAGGAUCAUGAGAGAUUUGUGACACUACUUUUUGAUGAAAUUCAUAUUGACCCUUACAUGGACUAUAAAGGCGGUAAUAUCACUGGAACAUCAGUCAAUAAUAAGUCUCUAGCUUUAACGGCAUUUACUUUUAUGAUUACAAGUGUGUAUUCCAGCUUUAAGAAAGUAGUUCACAUAGCUCCCAUCUCCAAAAUUACAUCACACAUACUUUAUAAUUUUAUUAAGACAAUUAUUGAAAAUUUAGAGGAGAUUGGGUACAGAGUUUUUUAAUAGUGUGAUAAUAAUGCCAUUAGUCAUUUUUCAACUGCAGACCAACUUAGCAUUGUUUAUCCUCAUCCCAUAGAUAAUCAGAGACCAUUAUUUUACCUAUUUGACACAGUUCACUUACUUAAAUGUGUAUUUAAUAAUUGGCUUAACUCUAAACUAGACCAAAAAUUUUAUUUUCCUGAUUUUGACACCUCGAAGAAAAAAUGUGCUUCUUUUUCUGCAAUUAAAAAAUUACAUGAACUGGAGUAUGAUAAACUUUUUAAGCUUUUAAAGUCAAUAUAUGUAUUUGUGUGUAUAUAACAUAACAUUUUUUACCACUUGGUGGUAUAAAAAAAUACCUAAAUACAUAUGUUGAAUUUUGGCGCAGAUGUAGAGGAGUUGGGAGUCUGCAUUUAAUAUUACACCAUAAUAUUUAACCUGACAUUCAACCAGAACUAAAACAUACCUUUGAAUGUGUCCUGAACUCUAUUCUAUUCCUAGCAUUUUUUAAAAUAAGCCAAAUAUUGAGAUAUUAGCAUAUGAAUCCCUUGGUUUUUAAAAAUCGGUGGCCCACAUCGAUGACGUCACGCGCCAAGCACUAAGGCCUUGUCUUUGAGUGGGUGUUGCACCAUACCAUUGUCAGUUUAAUGCCAUUGAGCUUAUAUGGGCAGGGUCAAAAUCUCAUUAUGAGAAGCAUGUGGGUGCUGGGCUUAGAUCUGACCAGGUUGACGCUGUUUGGAAUGAGGCAUUGAAUCACAUCACAAAGGAGUAUUGGCGGAAAUCAGUGGAUCACACAGAAAACAUUAUUAGAACCUGGUGGAAGAGAGAAAAAGUACUCGAUAUCCAAGUUGAACCAUUGAUCAUUGCUCCAUUUGAAGAAGAUUCGGAAAAUGACGAAAAGGUUAUCCGACUCUGUUAGUUAUAAUGAUAGUUAUAAUUAGUUUCUUUUUUUAGUCAAAUUUGUUACUUCAUUUUUACACAUUCACUUAAAUCUUCAGUCUUCGGCUUCCUCCUUUUACACUUUGUUUCUUGCUUGGAAAUAAGAUUGUUCUUGUUUUCAUAUAGAACCUUUUGCACCAUUCUUAAACUUAUUCCAAGCGCUUUAGCUACUUCUUCUUGUACAUUCUAAGCAAUCCCUUAUUUUCUUUUUCGUUAUCAAAAUAAUUAGUUUUCUUUUUGCAUUUCGUUUAUUAUUUAGGUAUGAUUAAAAAGUACAAAAAAAUUUUUUUUAAACAAAGCUAAGUAAAUAAAUUGGUGGAUGCGCUGGGAGAUAGAUAUGCCCGGCGCAUUUUCCAUUUUUUUUUUAGUAAUUUUUUAUCUUUUUUUGACUUUUAACUGAUAUAAAAGACAAGAUAACACAACUUUUUAAAUUUUCUGUGCAUCAACGUAUAAAUUGGGUCGAACGACAAAUAAUAAAUCAUAAAAUUAAAAUGUCAUUUUAAAAGUGAGAUUGUAACAUGAACUUGCCUUUAAACAAAGAAAGUAGUUUUCUGGUCUCUGACUGCACUGCAUCACACACAAUACAAAUUAAUUGUUUGUCAUUAUACCAAAAUGUAUAGUUUCCCAAUAAUUAUUACAAAAAAACACAAUCACACAUAAACAAAGAAGAAGACAAGAUCAAAUAAUCGUUAAAAAUUAGACGUUGUGCCCUGAAAUCGACAAAUUAGUAUGUUAUGCACAUACAUAGAUAGGGUCAUGCUAUAUCGUAUACUAAUUUCUCAAAAAUUUAGGUAACAAUCAUUUUUAAAUGAAAUACGUACAAUUUUAAUGAAAGGCUAGGGAGGCAUUUUUGCUCUCAUAAAAAAAUGUAAAAUGCUUAGAUUUGGAUAGUAUUGCGUAAAGAAAAAUUGUUAUUGAGAAUUCCGUCUAUUUCGGACAAUUUUUCAAAAAAGAAAAGUAACUACAGUGAGGUCUCGAUAAUCCGGAUCAAUAAAAACAACGCUGAUCCGGAUUAGCAAAAAAUCCGGAUUACCGAAACACUAUGUUGAAAUUGAGGAUAUUGUUAUAUUAAUUAUGUUAUAUUGUUAUAUAAUAUUAACCUAUUAUAAUUAUUAAAUUAAAAACAUGGAAAUGGUGUUUUAUCAAAUUUUCUUUAUUUAAAAUAAAACAAACACAUUCUUUAUAACGAAUAGAAAAUUAUUGGGUAAUAUACAUAUAAAUACAUAUGUAUGUAUGUACAUAACGUACUUAAAUGCAGCCAUAACACAUACAGUAGGUCAAUUUUUUUAUGACAAUAACAUUAGUUUGGGUUAGUAAAAAAAUGUGUAAUUUGGGUCUGCCUACAGGUUUUUAAAUUUUUUAUCACUGCUGUUUCUCUCAGCCUCCUUAAGGUGACAAGUUCUGGCAGUUCCACGUCAUUUUCUUCCGCCCAUUGCAGACACACAUUGAAACUCUUAACUGCAUCCUGAUGCUUCACAGUAUUUUUAAGUUCAGGAACAAUUUCCACCUCUUCUUCUGAAUUCUCACCACUUGCUAAGUCUGGAACUAGCUCCUCAUCUGCAUCAAUCCACUGAUUUACAUCCAAAUGUAUAAAUGAAGUUUCUUUUCCUCCUAGUUGAUUAAGCAUGCCAGAUAUAUUAUCUUGAAUGUUAUCGGUUAAGUUUUGUUGGCCAAUUUUUUCCUUCAAUACACUUAGUGGCAUCAAAUCGUCGGAAUCAUACUCUGUAUCAGAUGAAACAGCUUGGGUGGUUUUUGAUAAAAUAUUGCGCCAGCAUUUUUCUAUGGUCUUUGAAGGAAUUUUGCUCCACGCAUCAUUUAAAAUAAACAUAGCAUCUUUAAGAGUCACUGACUUUAAGCUUUUGGUAAUGUCUUGUUCAUCUGAAGAAAUAAUGGUAGCCAAAAUACUAUUGCGGUAAUGCAUCUUUGUUAAACGGACAACAUUUUGGUUGGAUUAAUGCUGUGCAGUUGGGAGGCAAAAACAUUGUCACUAUAUUUCCAUCUUCACUAACUAAUUCUUCUUUUGUUGCAUGAGAAGGCGCAUUAUCAACAAUCAACAAAGCCCUUUCUUCCAGGUUUCGACUUUGUAGAAAAGUUUUCACUUGGUUUACAAACGAUUCGUGAAACCAUUGUUUAAAUAAAGCAGAUGUCAUCCAAGAGUUCUUAGUUGACGUGUAUUCAAGUGGAAUCUGAACAUUCUUAAAUGAUCUAGGGUUCUUAGCCUUUCCAAUAACUAACAAGUUUAGUUUGUGGCUAUCAUCUCCAUUGGUACAUACCAAAAAAGUUAUUCUUUCUUUACAAAUUUUUCGGCCUGGGGCAGAUUUUUCUUUAAUAUGUGCCAACGUUCGGUCAGGCAACAUUUUCCAAAAUAGUGCUGAUUCAUCAGCAUUGUAAAUUUGCCGGGGCGAUAAAUUAAGUUCUUUAAUCUUAUCUUGGAGCUCUACUAAAAAUGGCUCAACGGCUUCUGGGUUAUUGCUUAGUUUUUCGCCACUCACUUUUAGACAACGCAAGCCAUGUCGCUUUUUAAAAUUUGUUAGCCACCCUCUACUUGCAAGAAAUUUGUUAUCCAUAAUGUUUUUGAUAAAGCUGUUUAGCCUUUUCGGAUAGUAUAUCUGAGGUUAUAACAGCAUGCCUCUGCCUUUGAAUUAAAAACCAAUUCCGUAAAUACAAAAAAAAAACAACUUGAAAAACCCCCCACAUAUAAACAUGCAUGCAAUUUAUCUUUUAUCAUAAAAACUCGUCCAUGCAAGUCAAAACUUUUAAAAUAAAAUGUCAUGCGUCCACAUUUUUAUCUGUCACACAACUUUAUCUCUCAGAAAAAAAAAACAAUAAAAACUUACUCUUCUAUCUUAUCAGAAUGCUUCUUGAUGUCUGAUAUUGUCGAUGUUCCAACGUUAUAUUCCAUAGCUAAAUUUUUAGCUAUAUAUUCUUUCUUUUGAACUAUAUCAUAUUUCUGCUGAAUAGUUAAAGCCACGUGUUUCAGUUUUGGAGCCAUCCCUACACUAUCCUAUACACGUAAUGGUCAAGCGACUAAUAACAAGUAAUAAGCUGGAAUAAAGCGUUCCUUGCUACAAUCAUGCGAGCAAAAUAAUCCAAUCACAGCCGCUGAAAAAGCAUCGUUCGCGAUCCGGAUAACCAAAUCAUAUAAAAUCCGGAUUACAAAGUACAUAAUUGGAAAAAUUCUUGAUUCGGAUAACCGAGGAAUCCGGAUUAUCGCAAUUCGGUUUAUCGAAACCUCACUGUAUUAUGUCUGGCAACUUAGCAGAAUAUCGGGGAUUCUAGGCAUAUACCGUAUACCGUAUAGGGCUUUAUACUUAUAGGCUUUUUCACGUCAUGAAAGGAAAUAACCAACGUAUGUUUUACAUGUCGAAUCUCGGAUACGUAGUAUUCCGCAGACAUUUUUACGACGUUAAAGGCAUCACGUCAGUUAAUAAUUAUGAUCUAAGGUGUAUACGCGGCUUUAAUAUGUCACAUGACGGCGUCAAUGUAUUGUCAAACUCUCAAGGAAAUAACAUUUUGGCAGCCACUGAUUUUUCAAUUUGAUUCAUAUUACGUGGUGACCUUUGAACGAAGGCGACUAUAUCGCCUACCUUCAUUUUUUUUCUCCUGUGGAGUAAGUUCAUUCCAGUUUGGCACCACUGCUUCACCCACUUCCUGCCAGAGUUUUUUUUUUUACAUUCCUAUCGCUAUAUUCAUUUCUAGCUUUAUCGUAUAAAGGGGGUUUUUCUUCUAUAAGUACAAUAAAUUUCUGGGUCCAUCACGGAAAACACCACUGACUGAUCGAAUCAACAUCGAUCUGAACGACGCACAGUAGAUCGAGGUAUAGGGCUACAGCAGCUAUAAAUCCAAAAAUUGCCUUAUGAAGUGUUUUGUGACGCAGAUAAUUUAUUUAUAGCGAAAAGAUAAUUUUCUAAAGUUUUUUCUGCAAAAAUUAUGUGUUCAGCAAUGUGUCACCUAAUAAUAGUAAAAGUAUUUACUUAUACAGUAAGUUUUUUUUAGUAAUACUCCUGGUGCAUCUGGUGAUCACCAAAAAAUAUUUUCGAUGGAUAAGCACCACCCUCUCCCAAACCUCAAAGGGUACUUCCCCUUAAAUAGUUUUGGGAAAUUUUUGUUUUUGGUAAACGUUAGCAAAUCUAGUUUAAAGAGAUAUAAUUUAAUAAUUAAAAAAAAGGCUUUUUUAGGCCCUUCUUAAUAAAGCAAUGUUUUUUGCUCUACUUAAUAAACUUAAAACAAAAUUAAAAUGAUUCUGCAUAAAUCAAAAGUUUGACAGAGUAAUUGAUAAUAAUCCCUAUUUUAAGCAUAUUUUAAAGGAAUUGAAUAUUAUCUUUUAGCGUCGUAUGUGAAUAAUCUGCAUUUUUUUUCUCUUAAUCUAUUCGUUUCAAAGUACUCUUUCUGCUUAAAUUUUAAAAUAUUGCAAAAUCGGAAAUACUUAGAGUCGACAAAACUUCAGGUCCUGGAUUGCUUCAACCCUCUUUCCCAUAUAAAAAUAAUUUUCUGUAGUUUGCUUAUAUUUGUAGGUGAAUGUCCCUGUAGCUGCUUUUUGUAUUUAGGCAUGUAGUACAGAUGCUGUUUCACUCUAUUUUAUAGGUAAUUUACCUUACCCAACACCCCUAUUCACUCCCGGGUCCCGUAAGCUUCUAGGGUAAAAAAAACACUUGUUAAAACAGCGCCGAUAGUUUUGUGUUCUAUAAAGAUGCUAGAAAAGUCGUAUGUAGAGAAAUUUUCCUAUAGCAGUAAAAUAGCAGAAUAUCAUUUUUUUAUUUGUUACUAAAAUUAGUAUCUUAAAUUAUUUUCAGUCUAUUAAACACCCAAAUUCACUUUCGCAGUUUUUUAGGCAUUUUAUUUUUAUGCAAUAUUUAAAGUAAAAUAUUUAAAAUGCAAGGAUUUAAAUAAAGUUUUUUUAUUGCCUUCAAAAAAAUUUAAAAAUAGCGCACACCAAUGAAGCGACCAUAUUUUUGUCCCGUCUGAACUAUUAAUUAUUAUUCUCUUCUAUUAAUAAUUAUUCUCCGCAAACGCAGGUAUCAUUUUCGGCUUGUGAAAGUUCAUUCAACAUUCUGCCUCUUAUUUAAUAAUAAUGGGAUAAACUAAUAAAAGGUUACUACUGGA